AGCUUAUUCUCUUCAACAUUCGUAUUCCUCCUUCUGAAGGAUAUAUGCCUGUCUAAAUGUGGAAAACACAACAUGACAGGUGCAAUUAUGUUGGGAGAUGCAUUGUUCUUCAGAAUGUUCUCUCAUUGUUAGGAGUUGAAGCGGACUUUAUUGUGUUUUCAACAACAUCAAAAUACAGCCAUUCAGAUGAUAUGCAUGCUUUCCCAACAAUCUUUGGCUUUAAAGGAGAGACUCUGAGCUCUAUCCCUGGCGUUUCUUUGUUGGAAAUUGUUACUGAUACUCACCGGAAGCCAAAUGGAUAUCGUAAGGUUUUGAAGGUGAGCGAAUUCAUUUGGAAGAAUUGCGUGAGAAGGUAAUGAUUGUCUAAAAAUUCAUUGAAGUGUCAUUUCAACUUGGAGUCUGUAGCUUAUUGAAUUAUCAGGUCCUAUCGGAAAGAAUGAGGACAACAACCUAUCCUGAUUCUGAGCAAGAAUUGAUACAAUUAUCUUGAUAAUAGGUAACAUUGAUUUUUGAGUCUUUGACCAUGCUUUUGCAGGUCAUUCCUGAAAUUGGUUACCAAUGACUACACAACUAUGUUGACCAAAUUCAAAACUGGGGUUGGAUCUACAACAAUCAUUCUCAAACUUCAAGAUCAUUUACCAGAUAAAUUACGAUCUUUGUUUACAGUUUCAUCACAUAACCAGUCUAUGGAACUUGAUAAAUUGACAUUUACCUGAAAUUCCAUUGCACUAAAUUUUACAACAUGCAUUAAAGUUAAAUCUAACUCUGAGCAUGAAGUUAUAUGUUUUGGUUAAAGCUGGAACUUGAAUCUGAUUCGCAAGCAGCUAACGUCUGUCACACUUUUUGCGUGAACAUUCUCUAAUACUUCUCUCUGUCAUAUUAUG
This is a long non-coding RNA of Solanum dulcamara, 884 nucleotides long. RefSeq lists it as uncharacterized. The transcript has 4 exons. The record is from RefSeq and is a predicted model, not a curated record. Lineage: Eukaryota; Viridiplantae; Streptophyta; Magnoliopsida; Solanales; Solanaceae.